Molecule: ribosomal RNA, 773 nt
Filed under: Martinezella rhizogenes
Lineage: Bacteria; Pseudomonadati; Pseudomonadota; Alphaproteobacteria; Hyphomicrobiales; Rhizobiaceae
Description: Rhizobium rhizogenes partial 23S ribosomal RNA
Rfam family: Bacterial large subunit ribosomal RNA
Source: RNAcentral
UUGAAACCGGAGCGCUAGCUUCGGUGGAGGCGCUGGUGGGAUACCGCCCUGACUGUAUUGAAAUUCUAACCUACGGGUCUUAUCGACCCGGGAGACAGUGUCAGGUGGGCAGUUUGACUGGGGCGGUCGCCUCCUAAAGUGUAACGGAGGCGCCCAAAGGUUCCCUCAGAAUGGUUGGAAAUCAUUCGUAGAGUGCAAAGGCAUAAGGGAGCUUGACUGCGAGACCUACAAGUCGAGCAGGGACGAAAGUCGGGCUUAGUGAUCCGGUGGUUCCGCAUGGAAGGGCCAUCGCUCAACGGAUAAAAGCUACCCCGGGGAUAACAGGCUUAUCUCCCCCAAGAGUCCACAUCGACGGGGAGGUUUGGCACCUCGAUGUCGGCUCAUCGCAUCCUGGGGCUGUAGUCGGUCCCAAGGGUUGGGCUGUUCGCCCAUUAAAGCGGUACGCGAGCUGGGUUCAGAACGUCGUGAGACAGUUCGGUCCCUAUCCGUCGUGGGCGUAGGAAAUUUGAGAGGAGCUGUCCUUAGUACGAGAGGACCGGGAUGGACGCACCGCUGGUGUACCAGUUGUUCUGCCAAGGGCAUAGCUGGGUAGCUAUGUGCGGAAGGGAUAAGUGCUGAAAGCAUCUAAGCAUGAAGCCCCCCUCAAGAUGAGAUUUCCCAUAGCGUAAGCUAGUAAGAUCCCUGAAAGAUGAUCAGGUUGAUAGGUUCGAGGUGGAAGCAUGGUGACAUGUGGAGCUGACGAAUACUAAUAGAUCGAGGACUUAACCAUAUAA